CAGCCGCCACGGUAAUACGUAGGUGGCAAGCGUUAUCCGGAAUUAUUGGGCGUAAAGCGCGCGUAGGCGGUUUUUUAAGUCUGAUGUGAAAGCCCACGGCUCAACCGUGGAGGGUCAUUGGAAACUGGAAAACUUGAGUGCAGAAGAGGAAAGUGGAAUUCCAUGUGUAGCGGUGAAAUGCGCAGAGAUAUGGAGGAACACCAGUGGCGAAGGCGACUUUCUGGUCUGUAACUGACGCUGAUGUGCGAAAGCGUGGGGAUCAAACAGGAUUAGAUACCCCCGUAGUCCCUGUCUCUUAUAU
RNAcentral lists this ribosomal RNA (301 nucleotides) under uncultured bacterium. Its description in RNAcentral is "partial 16S ribosomal RNA". It matches the Rfam family "Bacterial small subunit ribosomal RNA", at positions 509 to 809 of the family's 1533-position model. The record is from RNAcentral.